AUUGAACGCUGGCGGCAGGCCUAACACAUGCAAGUCGAACGGUAACAGGAAACAGCUUGCUGUUUCGCUGACGAGUGGCGGACGGGUGAGUAAUGUCUGGGAAACUGCCUGAUGGAGGGGGAUAACUACUGGAAACGGUAGCUCAUACCGCAUAACGUCGCAAGACCAAAGAGGGGGACCUUCGGGCCUCUUGCCAUCGGAUGUGCCCAGAUGGGAUUAGCUAGUAGGUGGGGUAACGGCUCACCUAGGCGACGAUCCCUAGCUGGUCUGAGAGGAUGACCAGCCACACUGGAACUGAGACACGGUCCAGACUCCUACGGGAGGCAGCAGUGGGGAAUAUUGCACAAUGGGCGCAAGCCUGAUGCAGCCAUGCCGCGUGUAUGAAGAAGGCCUUCGGGUUGUAAAGUACUUUCAGCGGGGAUGAAGGGAGUAAAGUUAAUACCUUUGCUCAUUGACGUUACCCGCAGAAGAAGCACCGGCUAACUCCGUG
Molecule: ribosomal RNA, 490 nt
Filed under: uncultured bacterium
Lineage: Bacteria
Description: partial 16S ribosomal RNA
Rfam family: Bacterial small subunit ribosomal RNA
Source: RNAcentral